Non-coding RNA from Callithrix jacchus (white-tufted-ear marmoset), 557 nucleotides. NCBI's taxonomy places the organism in Eukaryota, Metazoa, Chordata, Mammalia, Primates, Cebidae. The record is from RefSeq and is a predicted model, not a curated record.
CUGCAAACCUUUUCUGGAAUUGCCCUGCCAACCCCAGGGGGCCGGGGGCCACCCUCCCCGACGCAGCCGGAGCACUAGGGGCCUCCGCCCCCCGCCCGCCCGAGCCCUAGUCUGUAUGGACUAAGCCGCCCGGGGUCGGGACAGUUGGGGGAGAAAGACUUUUAAAAGACCUAAAAAGACUUUAAGAAGAAUAAAAAGAGUGAGGAGGAUCAGGUGUGCUCAGCUCGCUGACCUUGGACUCCGGAGGCUCACACCCUGGGGCUGUGCGGCACCUGCUUUGAAAAGGAAUCGCGGCAUCCAGUGUAGCACUGUUUGUAAUAGCGAAGAGGGGAAAACAGCCGACACACACCACGCAAAAGUCCCAGCGAGAGAGGUAACCUGUGUGCCCCCUUCAGGAAUCCCAGCAUGUCCAGCCGGAGUACCCAUGGGGUGUUGCUUCAUGUCGUCUUGGGAGAGGGAACCCCAGCACUGGGAAGAUCAUCAAAAGACACUGGCUGAUUGCUGCUGGGAAUACAAGAGCCAUUAAAGAAAAUGAACUGAGAGUGUGCUUCAUUUUU